CUGGGAGCAUAUACUAGACAAAAAUAAAAUGAAUGAAAGAAUCAGGAAGCUUCAAUAAAAAAAAAUAUACAUAUAUUUUUUAUAAAUUAGAAAGUCCAACGAAAACCAUUAAGUACCAUUCUCGUCGAAGCAUACCACACCAUCUAAAAUAAAUAAAGAAGGGGAAAAACCAGAUCUGAAAAUACACACUAACAGAAACUAAUCUCGCCGGUCCAUUUCCGCCGCUGAACCACCUAUCUCUCAAGAGGUGAAGUAGAACACAGGCUGCAGCAUGAGAUACAAGCAGAGGAAACAGGCGCUGGAAAAUGUCAGAAAAACCAGGCCAUAUAGCAUUCUGAGACCCAUUCACUGUCGAGAUUUCAAGAUCCGAGGAGAGAGAAGGAUCUGAGAGAGAGACAAAUUAUGUCCAAAGAGCAGAAGAGAUGCAAAUGGAUAAGGGACUGGUUUUUAUUUCUUAAGAGAUAAUUGCAGUCACGGCUCUAAACAUUUAAAUUUUACCCUGAUCUUUCAUUUGUUAUACUUGAGGUAUCAAACCUUUCAAGCAUGUGCGAUUGGAUGACAAAUAGAUGAAUUUGUUCAAAUUGCUAAAAAAUUGGCUAGGUUUAAAUCAAAUUUUAUAUAAGGA
RNAcentral lists this long non-coding RNA (625 nucleotides) under Olea europaea subsp. europaea. Lineage: Eukaryota; Viridiplantae; Streptophyta; Magnoliopsida; Lamiales; Oleaceae. The record is from RNAcentral.